GCGGACGGGUGCGUAACGCGUAAACAACCUGCCUUCAAGCGGAGGAUAACCACGGGAAACUGUGGCUAAUACUGCAUAACGUCCAGAGGCCGCAUGGCCCCUGGAUCAAAGCCUUCGGGCGCUUGAAGAUGGGUUUGCGUCGGAUUAGCUCGUUGGUGAGGUAACGGCUCACCAAGGCAACGAUCCGUAGCUGGUCUGAGAGGAUGAUCAGUCACACUGGCACUGAGACACGGGCCAGACUCCUACGGGAGGCAGCAGUGGGGAAUCUUAGGCAAUGGGGGAAACCCUGACCUAGCCAUGCCGCGUGGAGGAAGACACCCCUAUGGGGCGUAAACUCCUUUUCUGUCGGAAGAAAACCCUGUUUUUCAGGGCGUGACGGUACGACAGGAAUAAGCACCGGCUAACUCCGUGCCAGCAGCCGCGGUAAUACGGAGGGUGCAAGCGUUAUCCGGAAUCAUUGGGUUUAAAGGGUCCGUAGGUGGACUGAUAAGUCAGUGGUGAAAGUCUGCAGCUCAACUGUAGAAUUGCCAUUGAAAC
RNAcentral lists this ribosomal RNA (537 nucleotides) under uncultured bacterium. RNAcentral describes it as "bacterial SSU rRNA". It matches the Rfam family "Bacterial small subunit ribosomal RNA", at positions 98 to 633 of the family's 1533-position model. The record is from RNAcentral.